This 43-nucleotide non-coding RNA is filed under the name Clonorchis sinensis. Lineage: Eukaryota; Metazoa; Platyhelminthes; Trematoda; Opisthorchiida; Opisthorchiidae. The record is from RNAcentral.
GUUUACCUGACGAGUCCCAAAAAGGGCGAAACCCAUCGUGGAC